RNAcentral lists this non-coding RNA (28 nucleotides) under Rattus norvegicus (Norway rat). The record is from RNAcentral. Lineage: Eukaryota; Metazoa; Chordata; Mammalia; Rodentia; Muridae.
UGGCUAUUCAAGAUGUGUGCUUCCUGUU